Molecule: transfer RNA, 86 nt
Filed under: Ruminococcus sp.
Lineage: Bacteria; Bacillati; Bacillota; Clostridia; Eubacteriales; Oscillospiraceae
Description: tRNA-Ser
Rfam family: tRNA
About the family: Transfer RNA (tRNA) molecules are approximately 80 nucleotides in length. Their secondary structure includes four short double-helical elements and three loops (D, anti-codon, and T loops).
Source: RNAcentral
GGAAGCGUAUCGAAGUGGCCAUAACGGGACUGACUCGAAAUCAGUUUGCCUUAACCGGCACGUGGGUUCGAAUCCCACCGCUUCCG